RNAcentral lists this small nucleolar RNA (56 nucleotides) under Archaeoglobus fulgidus. Its description in RNAcentral is "partial u-64 small nucleolar RNA". It matches the Rfam family "Pyrococcus C/D box small nucleolar RNA". Rfam says of the family: Computational screens have identified C/D box snoRNAs in a number of archaeal genomes. This family represents several related snoRNAs from Pyrococcus. These RNAs are thought to act as guides for the 2'-O-ribose methylation of ribosomal RNA. Lineage: Archaea; Methanobacteriati; Methanobacteriota; Archaeoglobi; Archaeoglobales; Archaeoglobaceae. The record is from RNAcentral.
AGCGAUGAUGAAAGGGCCCCUCUGAACGGUGAUGAGGGUUUUGAGUUCUGAGCUCA